GGGCGCGUAGCUCAGCGGAAGAGCACCGUCUUCACAUGGCGGGGGUCGCUGGGUCAAACCCAGCCGCGCCCACCA
This 75-nucleotide transfer RNA is filed under the name Alphaproteobacteria bacterium MarineAlpha9_Bin7. Its description in RNAcentral is "tRNA-Val". It matches the Rfam family "tRNA". From Rfam's summary of the family: Transfer RNA (tRNA) molecules are approximately 80 nucleotides in length. Their secondary structure includes four short double-helical elements and three loops (D, anti-codon, and T loops). Lineage: Bacteria; Pseudomonadati; Pseudomonadota; Alphaproteobacteria. The record is from RNAcentral.